GAGAGAUCUUGUUUGAGACAGCAAAAUGAAACCAUUUGUCCCAAACGAUGCAGAGGCGGUGACCCAAAUGCGGACGACAUUUUGUGGACAAGACAAAAUAGUGGCUACUUUCAGAACGGUUACAUGUACCCACACAAACUUCCCACAUAAAAGGCAGAAGCCAAAGACCACCAAGAGAGCCAGUCACCAGAUUACCCAGCCGCUCCUAGUCCCAAAUGAGUUCCAUCUUUUGUAAGGCUUCCCUGAUUGCCAAGGGAACAAGAUUGUGAACCUAAUCACAGCACUGCUGCUUCUAUUUGCUUCAUGGACUGAAAGACCAACAUCUAUCUUGGCUACGGCAGCACAAAGGCUUUUCAGAGAAAUUGUGGCCAUUUCAGCUACCAAGGGUAUAGGAGAAAUAUGCUUCCCCAUUCUUCUGCCUGGCUCACAUCUAUUUCUCUUUUCUCUUCACAAAACCUCUGGAAAAGUGCUUUCACGUUACAGGGGCACCAAUGUACAAGACAUUCCUGUGCCAUGGUCUUCCCCUAAAUCCUGGGCAUGGUGGAGCACCUCUGAUGGACAGCAAUAUGUAACUGAUGAGGCCCAGGAGAGAAGCAGGAGAGAUCUUGUGACGAAGAUAUAUCUCCGUCUCCAGGGAGAUAUUGUAGUGUGAGGUGGUCUCCCAUGGAGAAUGAGACACACACGCAGCAGG
Molecule: long non-coding RNA, 691 nt
Organism: Crotalus tigris (Tiger rattlesnake)
Lineage: Eukaryota; Metazoa; Chordata; Lepidosauria; Squamata; Viperidae
Exons: 4
Source: RefSeq, a predicted model, not a curated record